UUGACCUCGGAUCAGGUAGGGAUACCCGCUGAACUUAAGCAUAUCAAUAAGCGGAGGAAAAGAAACCAACAGGGAUUGCCCCAGUAACGGCGAGUGAAGCGGCAAGAGCUCAAAUUUGAAAGCUGGCUCCUUCGGGGUCCGCAUUGUAAUUUGCAGAGGAUGCUUCGGGAGCGGUCCCCAUCUAAGUGCCCUGGAACGGGACGU
Molecule: ribosomal RNA, 204 nt
Filed under: Penicillium sp.
Lineage: Eukaryota; Fungi; Ascomycota; Eurotiomycetes; Eurotiales; Aspergillaceae
Description: partial 28S ribosomal RNA
Rfam family: Eukaryotic large subunit ribosomal RNA
Source: RNAcentral